AGAUUGAACGCUGGCGGCAGGCCUAACACAUGCAAGUCGAGCGGCAGCACGGGUACUUGUACCUGGUGGCGAGCGGCGGACGGGUGAGUAAUGCCUAGGAAUCUGCCUGAUAGUGGGGGAUAACGUUCGGAAACGGACGCUAAUACCGCAUACGUCCUACGGGAGAAAGUGGGGGAUCUUCGGACCUCACGCUAUCAGAUGAGCCUAGGUCGGAUUAGCUAGUUGGUGAGGUAAAGGCUCACCAAGGCGACGAUCCUUAGCUGGUCUGAGAGGAUGAUCAGCCACACUGGGACUGAGACACGGCCCAGACUCCA
Molecule: ribosomal RNA, 314 nt
Filed under: uncultured soil bacterium
Lineage: Bacteria
Description: bacterial SSU rRNA
Rfam family: Bacterial small subunit ribosomal RNA
Source: RNAcentral